UGGAGCAUGCGCAGUGGGCUUGCUGGGGAAGCAGGUGGAUGGGUGGUGUGUGGCCCUAAGGUUCCCCGGGCGGGUCAACGUGCUCUCCCCUCUGGUCUCGAAUCCCCAAGACCAGAUCGAGGAUGCAGCCGAGCCGCUGCCCGAUGUGGAAGGCUAAGUCUCCGCCUCGUGAUUGGGUCUCUGCUGUCAGAGAGCUUCACGAGCUUGAGGGGAAACAGACCGUGAGGUCUGGGCAUUGGGCAGUUUCCCGGCUCCCAACCCCGCGCACUGAACAGACCGUGACGAAAACUGGAACAAAGCGCGGAGGGAAGCUCUUAAAGGAGGCCAAAGCGGCCGGGCGCGGUGGCUCACACCUGUAACUCCAGUCUGUAAGCCUAGCUACUCGGGAGGCCGAGGCAGGAGGAACGCUUGAAGCCAGGAGUUGGAAGCUGAAGUUAAUACAUGAUCGGACCACUGCACUCCAGCUUGGGCAACAUAGCAUCCUUUAAAAAAAAAAAAAAAAAAAAAAAAAAAAAAGCCAAAAAGGGGGGCAGUGGUGCCCGGGCACCAAGGAUAGAAGGCCUCUCUGAGGAGGUGAUGCCGAGCUGAAGCUAGGAAGCGGAUGUGAGGGAAGAGUUCCAAGCAGAGGGAAGGCAAAUGCAAAGAUCCUCAAGGCAGGAACACGCUCUCUGUAUUUGAGGAGCAGAGUGCGUGUCAGUGGUGGCAGCAGCAGCUGAGCAAAGGUCUUAGAAUCCUAGCUAAUGUCAUGGGACCUAGCACCCAAUCCCAAAAGAAAGAAGAAAAGAUAGGAACCCACUGUUGACAAGAAGGUGCACUGAGAAGUGUUUUUAUCUGACCCGAUCUGCAUCCAGUUUAGAAGCCAAUACAUCAGGGAUUUAACAAUGCGCUUUGAUGUCUAGCAAGGGAAGUUGCUAGAGGGAAAACACAGAGUCAGAGUUCUAUCUUCAGCCCUGCCAGCAGGUCCCUGGGAGAUGCUGGACGAGUGACUUUUCUCUGGGCGUGGUUGGUGCAAUCACCAACCUCGCAGGAGAGAGGUCAGAGUGUAAAUGAGUGACGUAGGCCCGUUACUGGGUAUAAGUGGGCUUAUAGUGACCGGGAGCUCAUGUUCUACCAAAGGGGUUGCCAAUUCUGAUUUCGAGUGUGGCGGUGUAAAAGAGAAAAGCAACUGCUGCCAGCUGGGAGCUGGUUUGCACCCUCACUCCAGAAGCCUUGAUGUUGCUAGGAGAUGGCCUGGCACCAACAGUGAGGCCAUGGUGGUGUCCUGUUGAGCAUAAUUUCACAAAAAACAUCAGACAAGGUCCCUCUUUGACUGAUGAUAGAGAAAAAGACCAUUCCAUAAUUAAGCCUCAACACAGAAACAAGAACAUUGUCCAAACCACGAAAAUUACCAACACAAUCCUCACUCCCACAGGGUGCUUCCUGGUGGUCCUUGGUUGGAAGAUACUAUCAGAAAUGGAGGAGCAACAAAGAUUCAGCUGAAGCCCUCACUGCCUGGGACUGGGACCCUUGACUCAUCAUUGAGGACGUGGAUGUAUGCCCAUUCCCUUCACACUGUGAGCCGGUAGCCAUGGGAACUAUGAUCAAGUACACAAUAACUCCCCCACGAACAAAUCCUCAGGGAACAAGGUUCAUUUGAAUGAAACUGGCUUGACCACAAAGGAAUCUGGAGGACUUUCGGAGCUUCGCGGCCUUGUGCCACCUCCUGACUUUAAGCUGGCUCUGGAGGAGGAGGAAGUGGAGAUAUCUCAGGUAUGGACCUCUUUCUGGGAGCUGGGACUUGGACCAGGCAAAGAAAGGAGGCGGUGGGGAAAACUCCCCCAGAGGAGGCAGGAGUGGGCCCUGCAUACCAGGUCCUCAGGUCUCUGAGGGCUUUACUAGUUCUGGGAGUGUGUGGAUCGAGCCUAAAGUCUAGGAGGAAUUCCAGCAUUACCCAGGGCGUUGGCUGGAAUAUCUUUAAGGACCCUUCCAGCCCUGGAAUCAUAGCAGCAAAGGACCCAGUUGUAUGACAGCUGCUUUGGCCAGUGAAGAUGGAAAGACCAGGAAAAGCUUUAGGCGAAGCGAUGGAGUUCGUAUCCCACUAAUUCACCUCCCUUGCCGCAUCCCUGACAUUUCCCACACAAUAUGUCCUUCACUCUGUUCUCCAAAAAGCCAUUGCCUUCCUCUAACUGCCGAGAUGAGCCCUGGAAACCCUGAUGCCCACCAGACCCCUGCCUUUCCUCUUCUCUGCUCUGUUGGCCAAGGUUUCUGCCUCAGUUGCCCUGUCUGACAAUAUAGUUUCCCUAGGAGUGGAGCUAGCCCUGGCAUGCCAGAAUCCCCAACAGGUGCUAGCCCCUGGAGUCAGGACUGUCUUCCUGUGUCCCUGUGCUUGCUGCAGAAGAAACUGAUGACUUGUAACUGCCAUUCUGAAUAUAGUCACUACCAGGAACCGCUGGCUACCUGUGACAUACCAUCUAGCAUGGUACCGCAGCACUUGGCCCAGCACCUUGGGAGGCCAAGAUGGGAGGAUCACUUGAGGGCAGGAGUUUGAGAUCAGCCUGGGCAACAACAUAGUGAGAACCCCACCUCUACAAAAAAUGUAAAAAUUAGCC
This is a non-coding RNA of Chlorocebus sabaeus (green monkey), 2588 nucleotides long. Lineage: Eukaryota; Metazoa; Chordata; Mammalia; Primates; Cercopithecidae. The record is from RefSeq and is a predicted model, not a curated record.